GCUUCUGUUAAAUAACAAGAAAUCUCAAAGCUUUUAGUUGUAAACAACUAAUAAAAUCAAGUUUUGAAACAAAAAAGGAAUUUUUUGUAUAAUUGGAAUUUGAAAGCGAACAGAAUUUUAUUUUAUUUAUUAUAUCGUUUUAGUGAGAAUGAUUUUGUGUAAUUUUGUAAGGAUUUCGAUUUGAGAAUCGCGAAUUUAGUGAAAAAGUAAUUUUCCGUAAGAAAUUUUCUUGUUAUAUUUUGUUUGAAAAUCACGAAGGCGAAUUCGACAAAUUUGAUUAGGUGUUGGUGCGCGAUUCUACGCGAAAUUUUAACCCGUUAACGAAACGAAAGGUAAAUGUAGUUCACGUUCCAUAAUGCGGUUUGCCAAAAAGUAGGUGAUUGUUGGAUAAAUAACAAAAAAAAUGAUUUUCCAUUCUUCAUAAGAAAUAUUUCUAAAUACAUAUUUUACGUUUCUACUCGGUACUGCAAGAUAAUUCAAUUCAUUUGAACGUACGUUGAAAUUUUCCAAUAUUGUAAAUCAAAUAAAUUUUUCUCCAUCCAUUAUUCCAAAAUUUAUGCUGAGAAAUUGAUAUUUUUCCCAAAAAUUGAAUGUAACACAAUUUCAAAAUGAUAUACGAGGUAUAUCCACAAAGAAAGUUCCAUUUGGUUAUAAAAGAACAUACGUGCAGGUCAAAAAACAUAUUUUUCAUGCUGUUAACCUUAUUUUCUGUGUAGUUUCGAAAAUUUUUUAAACACUUGUUUUUGUAUGCCUCCUCCAUGUUCUCCGGCUGGUUUCAACUUUGAACGAGAGAUUUCAGGUGUAAGAAGAGAUGAAAGUCGGUAGGAGCAAGGUCCGAAUAUGUCGCAAAUUUCGACUACUCCCUUAGAUUCAAACAGAAGAUUGUUAAUAUUUAUGACCAAAGCUAAUUUUACUCAUUAUAUGAUAUUGAUCAAAUAAAAUCUUGACUUUGUUAUUUUAGAUUGAUUAAUUCUUUUCAGCGUUUACUGUAACACAUUUAAGUCCAGUAAAUAUUUGAUGAAUAAUAAUGAUGAUAAUCAUAUGAUAGAAUUGCUCCAAUACACCUCAAAUUCACUUUGAUUCGAAAUAGUAGUACAUGGAUCCUUCUGAUCAAUAUAAAUGAUAAUUAAGUAACUUGAAAAUGUGAUUUCCAUUCGAACGUCUUUCUGAGUAAUCUGUUGAGAUUUUACUGAUCUUUGAGAAGAAAUAUGUUGGGUUAAUGAGACGAUUGUGUGAUGAAUGUCUUUGGAAUUUGAUCAAAAAUGAGGCAACCGCCGCGAUAUGGAAAAGUGAUUCGUAAUUUUUCGGUAUUGAUUUCGGUGUGUCGCGAAUCGGUUUUAAGUGAUGGAAAUCAUGGAAAUGAAAAAUAGAUAUGGAGGCUUUCCUAUGUGGACAAAGUUAUGUGUUUGUGCGCGAUUCGACGCGAAAUUUUAACCCGUUAACGAAACGAAAAAUAUAUAGUGUGCGAAUCGAUAAAGCGGUAUGCCCAAAAGGUAGGUGAUUGUUGAAUAAAUAACAAAAAAACAUAUUUCUUCAAUUUUUAUAACAAAUAUGUAUUUCAAACUACAAAUAUAUGUGUUUCUAAAAUGGAAAUGCUGCUACAUCAGGAAUAUAAAAAUAGAUGUAAAAUUCUAUUUUCUAUUAUCGUUUUUCUGUGUCACGUUUCUUUCCAAAACUUACCCUGUCUGAAAAAAAAAUUAAAUUUUUUUAUGUAAUAAAUUUUUUACAAAUUAAAUGUAAAACAAUUUUCCUAUUGUAAAGAAAAUACUAAAAUUUGUCAUACACGUCUAAAUAACAUUUUUAUAACAGUUUCAAGAUUAAUUUCAGAUGAAAUGUUUUUUUUUUGUUAUUUAUUGGGUGUGCUAUGAAAAUUAUUUCCAUGAUAAUUUGUUGAUGGUUACAUACAUGAGACAUACAGGAGACAGGAGACAUACAGGAUUCCAGGAACAUUUUGAUUGUUUACGUACGGAGACAUCGUUUCAAAUUCGUUUACACAAUUACCUAUCUAUUAUUAAACAGAGCCACUUUAUUUUUGACUUAAUUCGAAAAAUUUUAUUAAAAUUUAGAUUAAAUACCAAGAAAUUAUAAUACAAUACAUUUUUUUCCAAAAUGUCUUUAGAAACCAUUUAAAAUACAGAGAUUAUUUUGAGAAUAUUAUCCAAAUAACUUUGAUAAAAUUGAUUAGAUUCUGUUGAAAUUUUGUGUAAAAAUUGAUGGAAUAAAUUAAAAUUUGAAAGUUAAAUGUCCACUCGUUUGGAAACGAAUAAAGAAGAUGAUUGUUUGAAAUAACUAUUAGGGAAUUUUGAAAGUUAUUAAUUUGUUGAAAGAUUCGAAAAAAAUUGAGAGCGGCUCAAUAUAUGAAAAAUCCAUCUGAAUAUGAAUUGAAACGAAUUAUUUAUUUUUUUAUAGGUAUCUAGGUACAAUGAGGAGUUUGCAGUUCUUUGAUGUGUUAUAUUUCCAAAUUUUUGAAUUUAUUCUUUCUUGUUUUGAUGUUUUGUGUGAUAUGUGAUAUAGUGUGAUCGCACGGUUAUCCUCGGGUACAAUAAGGACUUGUAGUUUUUAGAAAAUCUCCUUAAACUAAUUAAUUAACGAACUUUUUGUUAAUUUUUUCAAUACUCUUGGUUAUAUAACUAAUUAAGUUUAACUUGUAGAUGUGAUUUCCAUUCAAAUGACUUUCUAAGUAAUCUGUUGAGAUUUUCUUCAACUAUGAGGACGAGGCUGUUGGGUUAAGCUAAUUUUUUUCGGAAAAUUAGUUCCCUAGAAACGACAAGUACAGGCUUGAGGUUGCUCUAACGUAGUAGACUAACAAGUCUGUGCUAUGGGGAUGAUUGUGUGAUGUAUGUCUUUGGAAUUUGAUCAUAAAUGAGGCAGGCAACCGCCGCGAUAUGGAAAAGUGAUUCGAAAUUUUCGAUAUCGGUGUGCCGCGAAUCGAUUUUAAAAGUGUUGGACAAUAUGGAAAUUGGUAUAUGGAAAUGGAUAUGGAAAAUGGAUAUGGAAAGUCUACUUCGUGGAAGACCAUAUGUGAGUACAAAUUUUUAUAUACAUUAAAUUAGGUUGGGUGAUUUCGUUUUCUAAUGAUAGUAAAGUUAUAACGCAAUGAUAAACUUUUGUCUGAUGCUUACAAAGAUAUGAAAAUCAAGUUACUUUUGAGUUCUUUAUUUGAUAGAAAAGUUUCACAACCAAAAAAAUCGUAUGGAAAAAAAUUUAUAGAUAUUUGGAGAAUAAUAUUCCGUAUGAAUUUGCAUUUUUAAGUUUGGUAUUUUCAGUUAUGUAAAUUGAAAGUAUGUGUGUGAUAAUUAUUGUAUCUUGUAUGCGUGUGUAAAAAAUUCCGUUUUGCAAUCUUUAUAUCAAUGGCUACUUCAUUUGUUAUAAAUUUUCGUUUUUCUUUCCCAAACUGGACCUGAAAUUUAAAAAUAUAAAAUGUUGUAAACUUCGGAUCUGUGAAUUACUUUGAUAAUAAUUGAAUGAUAAAAUUAUUAUACACUAUUUUGUUCUUAUACAGAACUUAAUAAAAUUGAAUUUUUCGAAAUGAAAAUUACAUUUUUCUAAUAAUAAUUCGAAAAAAAAAACAUAUUUUCUGGACAUUUUAUUUUAUAAUCGACUGUGAACAAUUUAUUCCAACGUUAAUUGUUUCUAAUUUAUAUCAACCCUUAAAAAAAGAAAA
Molecule: long non-coding RNA, 3664 nt
Organism: Diorhabda sublineata
Lineage: Eukaryota; Metazoa; Arthropoda; Insecta; Coleoptera; Chrysomelidae
Exons: 3
Source: RefSeq, a predicted model, not a curated record